GAUGGACGCUAGCGGGAGGCUUAACACAUGCAAGCCGAGGGGUAUAGUUCUUUCGGGCCCUAGAGACCGGCGCACGGGUGCGUAACGCGUAUGCAACUUGCCCUACUGAAAAGGAUAGCCCUUCGAAAGGAGGAUUAAUACUUUAUAACAGAUUUAAUGGCAUCAUUAGAUUUUGAAAGAUUUAUCGCAGUAGGAUAGGCAUGCGUAAGAUUAGUUAGUUGGUGAGGUAACGGCUCACCAAGACGAUGAUCUUUAGGGGGCCUGAGAGGGUGAACCCCCACACUGGUACUGAGACACGGACCAGACUCCUACGGGAGGCAGCAGUGAGGAAUAUUGGACAAUGGGUGGAAGCCUGAUCCAGCCAUCCCGCGUGUAGGAUGACGGCCUUAUGGGUUGUAAACUACUUUUAUCUGGGGAUAAACCUACUUACGUGUAAGUAGCUGAAGGUACCAGAAGAAUAAGCACCGGCUAACUCCGUG
Molecule: ribosomal RNA, 479 nt
Filed under: uncultured bacterium
Lineage: Bacteria
Description: partial 16S ribosomal RNA
Rfam family: Bacterial small subunit ribosomal RNA
Source: RNAcentral